RNAcentral lists this long non-coding RNA (347 nucleotides) under Rattus norvegicus (Norway rat). RNAcentral's name for it is "long non-coding RNA NONRATT030794". Lineage: Eukaryota; Metazoa; Chordata; Mammalia; Rodentia; Muridae. The record is from RNAcentral.
GCCACCAGAAGAAAUAUUGAUGUACAUGAUUCGACCUGAAAGAGAUGUGUGCUGCCAGCUGUAACAAAUUUGAUGUCAAGGAUCAAUCAUGCAGCUAGUAAAGAGGUUUCGGGCAACGGUCUGACAUGUCCAGUGAAAAUAUGAUGUCAUUGGUAACUCUCUGUUUGUAUGGUCUAUGGAGUCCCUGUUGAUGGCCAUAAACUCUGUUGGUACUAAAGUACAUGCUCAAGUCCAAGUUCCAUUCCUCCUUCUGAGGCCAUGUUGAGGUGUAAACAUCAUGAUUUCGAUGAUCAGUCUUUUCCCUGGAGAAGAGGUUUAUGUCCAUGAUCCUACCUCUACUCUGAAAC